Conger conger (European conger) is the source of this 515-nucleotide long non-coding RNA. RefSeq lists it as uncharacterized. The transcript has 3 exons. NCBI's taxonomy places the organism in Eukaryota, Metazoa, Chordata, Actinopteri, Anguilliformes, Congridae. The record is from RefSeq and is a predicted model, not a curated record.
CUCCUGAGGUACACGUUAGCCACUCAUUUCCAGGUGAAACAGAAGAGGGGGGAGAGGGAAAGAGCAGAGCCCAGCGCAGAACAGCACUGCUCAGGAAUAAGGCAAGAGGAUAGUAUGGAGGAGAAAAACAAAGCCUGGUUGAAGACAGAGAGCGAAUGAAGAGUAACAUUCAACCCAGACCCAGGCUUUAAUCUCCACCAAAGGCCUGGGCUAAAGGCCACCACCCUGUCUGCGUCUGGCAAAUGGCUGCAUAAUACUGAAACAGCUGAUCCACGGGAAUGUCAAUAAUGCCAAGCUGACGGGGCUGUAACCAUGCGCCGUGUCAUGAGCCAGCUCUGCACUCUGCUCUCCAACCGGAGGCAGGGAGGGGGCAGGAACUAGGUGAAAAUCACACCCAGGGUCAUUCCAAGUCAAGCCAAGGCACUCUACAAAUUAAGCAUUUUUGGAAGCGCUGAUGAGACGUAAUGGAAAUACUUUUCUUUCAUAAAGAAUUCAUUACCCCUUCUUAUCCCUGG